Molecule: ribosomal RNA, 1436 nt
Filed under: uncultured methanogenic archaeon
Lineage: Archaea; Methanobacteriati; Methanobacteriota
Description: bacterial SSU rRNA
Rfam family: Bacterial small subunit ribosomal RNA
Source: RNAcentral
UGCAAGUCGUACGCGUUGGCCCAACUGAUUUGAAGUGCUUGCACGGAUCUGACGUUGGUUUACCAACGAGUGGCGGACGGGUGAGUAACACGUAGGUAACCUGCCCAGAAGCGGGGGACAACACUUGGAAACAGGUGCUAAUACCGCAUAACAAUUCAAAUCGCAUGAUUUGAAUUUAAAAGAUGGUUUCGGCUAUCACUUCUGGAUGGACCUGCGGCGCAUUAGCUUGUUGGUGGGGUAACGGCCUACCAAGGCAGUGAUGCGUAGCCGAGUUGAGAGACUGAUCGGCCACAAUGGGACUGAGACACGGCCCAUACUCCUACGGGAGGCAGCAGUAGGGAAUCUUCCACAAUGGGCGCAAGCCUGAUGGAGCAACACCGCGUGAGUGAAGAAGGUUUUCGGAUCGUAAAGCUCUGUUGUUGAAGAAGAACGUGCAUGAGAGUAACUGUUCAUGCAGUGACGGUAUUCAACCAGAAAGUCACGGCUAACUACGUGCCAGCAGCCGCGGUAAUACGUAGGUGGCAAGCGUUAUCCGGAUUUAUUGGGCGUAAAGAGAGUGCAGGCGGUUUCUUAAGUCUGAUGUGAAAGCCUUCGGCUCAACCGAAGAAGUGCAUCGGAAACUGGGAAACUUGAGUACAGAAGAGGGCAGUGGAACUCCAUGUGUAGCGGUGGAAUGCGUAGAUAUAUGGAAGAACACCAGUGGCGAAGGCGGCUGCCUGGUCUGUAACUGACGCUGAGACUCGAAAGCAUGGGUAGCGAACAGGAUUAGAUACCCUGGUAGUCCAUGCCGUAAACGAUGAGUGCUAGGUGUUGGAGGGUUUCCGCCCUUCAGUGCCGGAGCUAACGCAUUAAGCACUCCGCCUGGGGAGUACGACCGCAAGGUUGAAACUCAAAGGAAUUGACGGGGGCCCGCACAAGCGGUGGAGCAUGUGGUUUAAUUCGAAGCUACGCGAAGAACCUUACCAGGUCUUGACAUCUUGCGCCAACCCUAGAGAUAGGGCGUUUCCUUCGGGAACGCAAUGACAGGUGGUGCAUGGUCGUCGUCAGCUCGUGUCGUGAGAUGUUGGGUUAAGUCCCGCAACGAGCGCAACCCUUGUUACUAGUUGCCAGCAUUAAGUUGGGCACUCUAGUGAGACUGCCGGUGACAAACCGGAGGAAGGUGGGGACGACGUCAGAUCAUCAUGCCCCUUAUGACCUGGGCUACACACGUGCUACAAUGGACGGUACAACGAGCAGCGAACUCGCGAGGGCAAGCAAAUCUCUUAAAACCGUUCUCAGUUCGGAUUGCAGGCUGCAACUCGCCUGCAUGAAGUCGGAAUCGCUAGUAAUCGCGGAUCAGCAUGCCGCGGUGAAUACGUUCCCGGGCCUUGUACACACCGCCCGUCACACCAUGAGAGUUUGUAACACCCAAAGUCGGUGGGGUAACCUUUGGAGCC